This 446-nucleotide ribosomal RNA is filed under the name uncultured bacterium. RNAcentral's name for it is "partial 16S ribosomal RNA". It matches the Rfam family "Bacterial small subunit ribosomal RNA", at positions 329 to 792 of the family's 1533-position model. The record is from RNAcentral.
AGCCAGACUCCUACGGGAGGCAGCAGUGGGGAAUAUUGCACAACGGGGGAAACCCUGAUGCAGCGACGCCGCGUGAGCGAUGAAGUAUUUCGGUAUGUAAAGCUCUAUCAGCAGGGAAGAAAAUGACGGUACCUGACUAAGAAGCCCCGGCUAACUACGUGCCAGCAGCCGCGGUAAUACGUAGGGGGCAAGCGUUAUCCGGAUUUACUGGGUGUAAAGGGGGCGCAGACGGCGAUGCAAGCCAGGAGUGAAAGCCCGGGGCCCAACCCCGGGACUGCUCUUGGAACUGCGUGGCUGGAGUGCAGGAGGGGCAGGCGGAAUUCCUGGUGUAGCGGUGAAAUGCGUAGAUAUCAGGAGGAACACCGGUGGCGAAGGCGGCCUGCUGGACUGCAACUGACGUUGAGGCCCGAAAGCGUGGGGAGCAAACAGGAUUAGAUACCCGCGUA